AUAAUACUUCAGGGCAGGGUGUCAUUCCCUACCGGCGGUAAAGCCCGCAAGCAUUAUGCACGAACUGGUGGAAUUCCAGUGCCGACAGUUACAGUCUGGAUGGAAGAAGUAAAGU
This is a non-coding RNA of Eubacterium sp. CAG:76, 115 nucleotides long. NCBI's taxonomy places the organism in Bacteria, Bacillati, Bacillota, Clostridia, Eubacteriales, Eubacteriaceae. The record is from Rfam.